RNAcentral lists this ribosomal RNA (406 nucleotides) under uncultured bacterium. RNAcentral describes it as "partial 16S ribosomal RNA". It matches the Rfam family "Bacterial small subunit ribosomal RNA", at positions 29 to 526 of the family's 1533-position model. The record is from RNAcentral.
AUUGAACGCUGGCGGCAGGCCUAACACAUGCAAGUCGAACGAGUGGCGGACGGGUGAGUAAUGUCUGGGAAACUGCCCGAUGGAGGGGGAUCACUACUGGAAACGGUCGCUAAUACCGCAUACCAUCGGAUGAGCCCAGAUGGGAUUAGCUAGUAGGGGGGGGAACGGCUAACAUGGGCGACGAUACCUAGCUGGUCUGAGAGGAUGACCAGCAACACUGGAACGGGGACAGGGUCCAGACUCCUACGGCAGGCAGCAUGGGGGAAUAUUGCACAAUGAGCGCAAGCCUGAUGCAGCCAGGCGGCGUGGAUGAAGAAGGCCUUGGGGUGGGAAAGUACUUUCAGCGGGGAGGCGGUACCGGAAGAAGAAGCACCGGCUAACUCCGUGCCAGCAGCCGCGGUAAUAC